UGCCCUAGUAACGGCGAGUGAAGCGGCAACAGCUCAAAUUUGAAAUCUGGCCUUCGGGUCCGAGUUGUAAUUUGCAGAGGAUGCUUUUGGCGCGGUGCCUUCCGAGUUCCCUGGAACGGGACGCCUUAGAGGGUGAGAGCCCCGUACGGUUGGACACCAAGCCUCUGUAAAGCUCCUUCGACGAGUCGAGUAGUUUGGGAAUGCUGCUCUAAAUGGGAGGUAAAUUUCUUCUAAAGCUAAAUAUUGGCCAGAGACCGAUAGCGCACAAGUAGAGUGAUCGAAAGAUGAAAAGCACUUUGAAAAGAGGGUUAAACAGCACGUGAAAUUGUUGAAAGGGAAGCGUUUGCGACCAGACCUUCUCCUGGCGGAUCAUCCGGUGGUUUCCACCGGUGCACUUCGCCAGGUCGAGGCCAGCAUCGGUCUUUGUAGGGGGAUAAAAGCUCAGGGAACGUAGCUCCUCCGGGAGUGUUAUAGCCCUCCGCAUAAUACCUUUACGGGGACCGAGGACCGCGCCUUCGGGCAAGGAUGCUGGCGUAAUGGUUGUCAACGACCCGUCUUGAAACACGGACCAAGGAGUCGAACAUUUGUGCGAGUGUUUGGGUGUUAAACCCUCACGCGUAAUGAAAGUGAACGGAGGUGAGAGCCCUUACGGGUGCAUCAUCGACCGAUCCUGAUGUCUUCGGAUGGAUUUGAGUAAGAGCAUAACUGUUCGGACCCGAAAGAUGGUGAACUAUGCGUGGAUAGGGUGAAGCCAGAGGAAACUCUGGUGGAGGCUCGCAGCGGUUCUGACGUGCAAAUCGAUCGUCAAAUCUGCGCAUGGGGGCGAAAGACUUAUCGAACCAUCUAGUAGCUGGUUACCGCCGAAGUUUCCCUCAGGAUAGCAGUGUUGUUCUUCAGUUUUAUGAGGUAAAGCGAAUGAUUAGGGACUCGGGGGCGCUUUUUUGCCUUCAUCCAUUCUCAAACUUUAAAUAUGUAAGAAGCCCUUGUUACUUAAUUGAACGUGGGCAUUCGAAUGUACCAACACUAGUGGGCCAUUUUUGGUAAGCAGAACUGGCGAUGCGGGAUGAACCGAACGCGGGGUUAAGGUGCCGGAGUGGACGCUCAUCAGACACCACAAAAGGUGUUAGCACAUUUAGACAAUAGGACGGUGGCCAUGGAAGUCGGAAUCCGCUAAGGACUGUGUAACAACUCACCUAUCGAAUGUGCUAGCCCUGAAAAUGGAUGGCGCUCAAGCGUCCCACCCAUACCUCGCCCUCAGGGUAGAAACGAUGCCCUGAGGAGUAGGCGGCCGUGGAGGUUAG
RNAcentral lists this ribosomal RNA (1301 nucleotides) under Nemania serpens. RNAcentral describes it as "partial large subunit ribosomal RNA". It matches the Rfam family "Eukaryotic large subunit ribosomal RNA", at positions 76 to 1401 of the family's 3401-position model. Lineage: Eukaryota; Fungi; Ascomycota; Sordariomycetes; Xylariales; Xylariaceae. The record is from RNAcentral.